Saimiri boliviensis boliviensis (Bolivian squirrel monkey) is the source of this 1030-nucleotide long non-coding RNA. RefSeq lists it as uncharacterized. NCBI's taxonomy places the organism in Eukaryota, Metazoa, Chordata, Mammalia, Primates, Cebidae. The record is from RefSeq and is a predicted model, not a curated record.
CAACAUCUAUUUUUAUACUUACUGUAUAUUUGCCCUAACAAUCACUUAAAAUCUAAUUUGUGGCUCAUCUUCUGUGAUCACACUGCUUAAGGUCUAAACAAAUUCACAGCAUUUUAAAUGAUACCUAUCAGAGGAACAAGAUGUCUCUUCAAUCAAGAGAGGGAGACAUACCAAGGAAGAGGAUGAGGUGAAAUAAAAGGGUCCCUUAUUGGCAGUAAGGACACUGGGAGCACUGUCUUGGCAAGAACCAAAUGAAAGCGUUUCAGGGAGUGUCAACCUAAGUAGACGUUAUGGGUCUGACAGCAGAGAGCGAUGGGCCACGGACAUGCACUCUAAAAGACAAACACACUACAAUCCGCAGAUAGACUAUGUGCUGGACUAACCUGGUUCCCUAACUGCCACUCAAGAAAAGAGGAGGAAAACUGAAAAAUGCAGAUAUAGCUUGUCCAAGGGUCACAGUGCCCAGAGGUAAGGAAGCCAGGAUUUAAACUCUGGUGGUGGAUUUGCAGCCCAAGCUCUUAACUGCUACAUUUCCUGCCUGACACAGAAAAAAAAUGCAAUAACAAAAUAAGCUGUCAAGAAAAAAAAAAAAAGAGAAAAUUGCAACUGAGAAGUUGUGGUGGGGAGAACGAGACUGCCACUUCCAGCUGCCUUGGGGGACUGAGGCUGUCCUAGAAGUGCCAGGGUUUUAAGAACACAAAGGAGUCACUCUGUCGUCUUUUCAAAGCAGCAGCUUAUACAGCUGGAGUUUAUCCGAAUGUCUGAAAUCCCCAGCGAUUAUGGACAAACGCACUAACAAAUAAAACAGUCUUUAUAGACUGUCUGGAGAGCUUCCUUUUUAGGAUAUCACUAUGAAAUGAAAAGCGUUGUUAAAAAAUACAACUGUUUUCCUUUUGUAGAUACGUAAACUGAGAUAUACAGGAUUUCCCUUUUUUGAAAAACAAAAAACUCAUGUGAAGAAAAGAAUAAGCCUGCAAUAAAUCCCAGGCCUCUGUUACAUCUUAAUAGUGUUAUUUUAUUCUAUGCUACA